AUGACCUGAACUGAAGUCAGACGCUUAACCGACUAAGACACCCAGACGCCCCCAUAAAGACAAUAUUUUCAAAGAAGAUUUGGCAACAGAGCCCUGAUAAAAUGUCAAGUUCAAAGGUAAGAUGGGGACUUGUCCAAUCAUGAUCACUCAGAACUGCCCGGUGUUUUCUACGCAUCUGGCUGGUACGGACGUGACAUAUAUAUCACCUCACUUAAACCCCUAGCAACCCUAUGAGGCAGACGCUAUGAUUCUAAUUUUGCAGGUGAAAGAAUGUGCACAGGAAGCAAUUUGUUCAGGUUACAGAGCCAGUGAGCGGUGGGACCAGGUUUCAGACCUGGAGUCAGGCUCCGGAGGCCACGCUUAUAACCUUGACCCACACAGCCUCUCACUGCCUGUGGGGCAGGAGCCCACAGGGUGGUGUGUGUGCGUGUGUGUGUGUGUGUGUGUGUGUGUGUGUGUGUGUAGUUUUGGUGAAACCUCCAAAAGAGUGUUAGUGGUUAUGCCUGGGUGGUGGUUUGUAGUUUCUUCUUUACCUCUUUUCGCUAAUUCCUCAAGCAUUUGCAGCAAGCAGUGCUUUUAAGGAGCCAGUGAUGAAAGGCGACAGCAGCAGUUUCCCGAAAUUACAGAUCGCUUUAAUCUACUUUGGGAACCAGGAGAUAUAUAAAAACGUUUCAAGACAGCAUGGGCCAACUGCAUGGCACAGAUGGAUCCUUUAGCCGGGGAGGAGAAGGAACAAAGGCGGAGAACAGAAGAUCAGCCCAGGGGAAGCAGAGGAUUUACAUAGGAUGCGAUGGGACAUAAAGAAAGCUAAUUGGUGACAGAAUAUGGAGGGCCCUGAAUACCCAGCAAGAAAGUUUGCAUUACGAAUGGUAUUGCUCGUAAGAGUGGAAAAUUUUUAAUGACUUAAAUACUCAUCAAAGGGACAAUGUACGCAUUUCUAUGGCAUAUUUAUCCAAAGUGUGGCGAGGAUGCGGUGAAAAUUUUGAGCGGAAGGCUUGGUCACAGCCAGGUUCGGGGGACGUUUCGUCCAGCACGGGAGGAUGGGAGAACGAGCUGGAAGGAAGAUGACCAGUUGGGUGACUGUUUCUGUAAACUCGAUGUGGAGAGAGGAGGCCUUGAUGGGGCCACGGAGAAUGGAAAGGACACGAAAGACAAAGGCUUAAGGAGAAAAGCAGUGGGAUGCAGUUGAUAAGCAUGCGUGUUAGAGCCGUUGACUUGGUGCUACUGAUGGCAAUGACUCUGGCUUUCAGAUCUAAUGAUUGCAUAGGGGUUUUUUAAUGUUUAUUUAUUAAA
Molecule: long non-coding RNA, 1293 nt
Organism: Herpailurus yagouaroundi (jaguarundi)
Lineage: Eukaryota; Metazoa; Chordata; Mammalia; Carnivora; Felidae
Exons: 3
Source: RefSeq, a predicted model, not a curated record